Molecule: transfer RNA, 72 nt
Filed under: Dipodomys ordii (Ord's kangaroo rat)
Lineage: Eukaryota; Metazoa; Chordata; Mammalia; Rodentia; Heteromyidae
Rfam family: tRNA
About the family: Transfer RNA (tRNA) molecules are approximately 80 nucleotides in length. Their secondary structure includes four short double-helical elements and three loops (D, anti-codon, and T loops).
Source: Rfam by way of RNAcentral
GGGAAGGUGGCUCAGUGGUAGAGCGCCUGCUUUCCAUGCAUGAGGCCCUGGGUUCAAUUCCUCAGCACCCCA